UACGGAGGGGGCGAGCGUUAUUCGGAAUUAUUGGGCGUAAAGGGCGCGUAGGCGGCCCGGUAAGUCAAAGGUGAAAUCCCUCGGCUCAACUGAGGAACUGCCUUUGAAACUGUCGGGCUUGAGGCCGGGAGGGGGUAGCGGAAUUCCCAGUGUAGCGGUGAAAUGCGUAGAUAUUGGGAGGAACACCAGCGGCGAAGGCGGCUUUCUGGACGAUAACUGACGCUGAGACGCGAAAGCGUGGGGAGCAAACAGG
This 253-nucleotide ribosomal RNA is filed under the name uncultured bacterium. RNAcentral describes it as "partial 16S ribosomal RNA". It matches the Rfam family "Bacterial small subunit ribosomal RNA", at positions 524 to 776 of the family's 1533-position model. The record is from RNAcentral.